RNAcentral lists this ribosomal RNA (484 nucleotides) under uncultured bacterium. RNAcentral's name for it is "partial 16S ribosomal RNA". It matches the Rfam family "Bacterial small subunit ribosomal RNA", at positions 30 to 507 of the family's 1533-position model. The record is from RNAcentral.
AUUGAACGCUGGCGGCAGGCCUAACACAUGCAAGUCGAGCGGAUGAAGGGAGCUUGCUUCUGGCUUCAGCGGCGGACGGGUGUGUAAUGCCUAGGAAUCUGCCUGGUAGUGGGGGAUAACGUCCGGAAACGGGCGCUAAUACCGCAUACGUCCUGAGGGAGAAAGAGGGGGAUCUUCGGAACUCACGCUAUCAGAUGAGCCUAGGUCGGAUUAGCUAGUUUGUGGGGUAAAGGCCUACCAAGGCGACGAUCCGUAACUGGUCUGAGAGGAUGAUCAGUCACACUGGAACUGAGACACGGUCCAGACUCCUACGGGAGGCAGCAGUGGGGAAUAUUGGGCAAUGGGCGAAAGCCUGAUCCAGCCAUGCCGCGUGUGUGAAGAAGGUCUUCGGAUUGUGAAGCACUUUAAGUGGGGAGGAAGGGCAGUAAGUUAAUACCUUGCUGUUUUGACGUUACCAACAGAAUAAGCACCGGCUAACUUCGUG